UCUCACCAGGGCCCUGUACAGCUGCAGAAGGAACUCUUUGCUCCUGUACUCAACUCCCCUUGUUAUAAAGCUUUCUUUUGUUUUUUAAAGUGAGUAACAAAUUACGUAUUUAAAUGAAGUACAGAAUAAAUUCCAACACUACGACAACUAAUAGGAACUAACGCAGUUUUGUCAACGGAGAAAUUCAUCCAGUGUACACUGAGCAGGAGGUGUUGGAGAAACGGAAAAAUUGCAGAGAGACUUGGUCGGUUUAGGAGAAGGGGCCAAGAAAUGGCAGAUGGGAUACAACGUUGAGAAACGUGCGGUUGUACAUUUUGGAAGAAGAACCAAUCGGGCAGAUUAUUAUUUAGGUGGGGAGAAAAUUCAGAAAUCGGAAGUGCGAAGGGACUUGGGGGUCCUGGUGCAGGACACCCUAAAGGCCAACCACCAGGUUGGAUCGGCAGUGAGGAAAGCGAAUGCAAUGUUGGCAUUCGUUUCAAGAGGAAUCGUGUAAGGAGGUGUUGACGAGACCCUAUGGGGCACUGGUGAGACCCCAUUUGGAAUACCGAGUGCAGUUUUGGGCCCCCUGUCUUAGAAAGGAUGGGCUGAUGUUGGAGAGAGUUCAGAGGAGAUUCACGAGGAUGAUUCCUGGAAUGCGGGGACUAACAUACGAGGAGCGUUUGUCGGCUCUUGGACUGUGUUCGUUCGAGUACAGAAGAAUGAGAGAGGAUCUCAUAGAAACAUUUCGAAUGUUGAAAGGGUUGGACAGAGUAGAUGUGGAAAGGCUGUUUCCCUUGGUGGGUGAGACCAGGACAAGAGGCCACAGUCUUAGAAUUAGAGGGCACCCAUUUAAAACAGAGAUGAGGAGAGAUUUUUUUAGCCAGAGGGUCGUGGAUUUAGGGAAUUCGUUGCCACGUACAGCUGCGCAGGCCCGAUCACCGAGGGUGCUUAAGGAGGAGAUUGACAGGUAUCUGAUCAGUCAGGGUAUCGAGGGAUAUGGGGGGGGGGGAAAGCCAGAAAUUGGAACUGGACGGGAGAAUAGUUUAGCUCAUGGUGGAGUGGCGGAGCAGACUCGAUGGGCUGAAUGGCCUACUUCUGCUUUGUCUUGUGAUGCAUUCUUUUGAUUGACUGUAAAUGAACGAAAUCAGCGCAGACGCCUAGUGCAGACAAUGGAAUGCCUUCAAACAAUGUUUUCGAUGGACGCAUCCUCCGAUCUUCAUUAUAGUACACAAGGUGUCCCAUCCCCCGGAAGAGGUGGAGAGCAAAGAGCUGGCACUGUCACCCAGCCUGCAUCGAUGGCCCUGAUGGGAGUUAAGUUGAUUGUCAGAGCCUGCGGACGUUGACAGCGUGUGGUGUAAAUGUCCGUGAUGGCGGGAAGAGAGACCCCGAUGAUCUUCUCAGCUGACCUCACUAUCCACUGCGAUCCGAGAUGGUGCACAACCUAUCUAUAUUUGUAAUUAUAACUUACCGGGAGAGACGGCUCUGAAGAGCGGAGCGGAGGAGCUGGAGGGACCGUACGCCUGCCCGACCUGGAGCCCGCUGCACCCUGCCGACUCGGGCUGCAGAGAGAACAGGGUUCACUGUGGACGCCGACGGCAGAACUCAUGGCCUAACUUUGAGAGACUCUUCAAUGCAAACACCCACGUCAGGAAGCGGUUCUCUCCAGUCCAGCAUCCGACGCCAACAUUCCUGCAGUCCUGACUGAAAGGCGACAGGGCCUGGGCCUCUGUACCUCCCUCUGCCACUGGAUCCUCAGCUUCCUAACCGGAAGACCACAGUCUGCGCGGAUUGGCGAUAGCAUCUCCUCCUCGCUGACGGUCAACACUGGCGCACCUCAGGGGUGUGUGCUCAGCCCACGGCUCUGCUCUCUCCGUACCCAUGACUGUGUGGCUCGGCACAGCUCCAGUACAGUUCGCUGAUGUCACAACCGUUGUUGGUGGAAUCUCAGGAGGAGGGG
Hypanus sabinus (Atlantic stingray) is the source of this 1936-nucleotide long non-coding RNA. RefSeq lists it as uncharacterized. Lineage: Eukaryota; Metazoa; Chordata; Chondrichthyes; Myliobatiformes; Dasyatidae. The record is from RefSeq and is a predicted model, not a curated record. The transcript is spliced from 5 exons.